CUCUCUCUCACACGGCUCGGUUUUCUCCCCCCUAUCUCUGACUCCGGCGAAGUCCAACAUCGCCGCCGCCGCUUGGGUCGACGGGAGCCGCUGGAGCCCCCACACGUCUCCUCCUCCCUUCAAUCCAACUCUCUCUUCUUCUUCCUCACUGAAACGCACACACCCAUCUCACCUCUCUUUCGCUGUCGCUCUCGAUUCCGGCGUCGCGCCGCCGCGCCGCUCCGCCUGCAAUUGCCUACUGAAGUCACCGCCGUCUGGAGUUGCCGCCACCGUCGCCAGCUGGAGCCUCGGCAGCCGCUGCCUCUCUUGGAAUUGCUGCCGUUGCUGCUGCUCAGGAGUUGGCGAGAGACGGCAGAACAGCUGCUGCCGACAGCGGCCAGCUCGCCGGGGCUGCCUUCCUCCGAAGUUGGCGCCGCCUCGUUCUCCUCUCUCUCGUUUUAUCUCUCGAUAGGUUUGUGAAUUUGAAAUAGUUUUACAUAAAACUCAAUUUUGUGUAAAGACUUGAUUUUGGAGUCAAAACUUCAUUUUCUGUACUCUAAUUUAGUGAUAUAGAGGUUCUAUUUCUGAUUUCUU
RNAcentral lists this long non-coding RNA (573 nucleotides) under Salvia miltiorrhiza (redroot sage). RNAcentral's name for it is "long non-coding RNA (SMIL_LNC001992)". Lineage: Eukaryota; Viridiplantae; Streptophyta; Magnoliopsida; Lamiales; Lamiaceae. The record is from RNAcentral.